This 503-nucleotide ribosomal RNA is filed under the name uncultured bacterium. RNAcentral describes it as "partial 16S ribosomal RNA". It matches the Rfam family "Bacterial small subunit ribosomal RNA", at positions 899 to 1397 of the family's 1533-position model. The record is from RNAcentral.
ACUCAAAGGAAUAGACGGGGACCCGCACAAGCGGUGGAGCAUGUGGUUUAAUUCGAUAAUACGCGAGGAACCUUACCAGAUCUUGAAAUAUAAAGGGAUAAUACAGAAAUGCAUUAGCUCGUAGCAAUACGAGCCUUUAAACAGGUGGUGCAUGGCUGUCGUCAGCUCGUGCCGUGAGGUGUUGGAUUAAGUUCCGCAACGAGCGCAACCCCUGCGUUUAGUAGCCAUCAUUCAGUUGGGCACUCUAAACGGACGGUCUGCGAGAGCAGAAGGAAGGUGGGGACGAGGUCAAGUCAUCAUGCCCCUUACGAUCUGGGCUACACACGUGCUACAAUGGGAAGGAACAAAGGGAAGCGAAGCAGCGAUGCGGAGCAAAUCUCAUAAAACUUUCCUCAGUUCAGAUUGCAGUCUGCAACUCGACUGCAUGAAGAUGGAAUCGCUAGUAAUCGCGUAUCAGCAACGACGCGGUGAAUACGUUCUCGGGUCUUGUACACACCGCCCGU